This 497-nucleotide ribosomal RNA is filed under the name uncultured bacterium. Its description in RNAcentral is "partial 16S ribosomal RNA". It matches the Rfam family "Bacterial small subunit ribosomal RNA", at positions 28 to 507 of the family's 1533-position model. The record is from RNAcentral.
GAUGAACGCUGGCGGCGUGCCUAAUACAUGCAAGUCGAGCGAACAGACGAGGAGCUUGCUCCUCUGACGUUAGCGGCGGACGGGUGAGUAACACGUGGAUAACCUACCUAUAAGACUGGGAUAACUUCGGGAAACCGGAGCUAAUACCGGAUAAUAUAUUGAACCGCAUGGUUCAAUAGUGAAAGACGGUUUUGCUGUCACUUAUAGAUGGAUCCGCGCCGCAUUAGCUAGUUGGUAAGGUAACGGCUUACCAAGGCAACGAUGCGUAGCCGACCUGAGAGGGUGAUCGGCCACACUGGAACUGAGACACGGUCCAGACUACUACGGGAGGCAGCAGUAGGGAAUCUUCCGCAAUGGGCGAAAGCCUGACGGAGCAACGCCGCGUGAGUGAUGAAGGUCUUCGGAUCGUAAAACUCUGUUAUUAGGGAAGAACAAAUGUGUAAGUAACUAUGCACGUAUUGACGGUACCUAAUCAGAAAGCCACGGCUAACUACGUG